This 406-nucleotide ribosomal RNA is filed under the name uncultured bacterium. Its description in RNAcentral is "partial 16S ribosomal RNA". It matches the Rfam family "Bacterial small subunit ribosomal RNA", at positions 30 to 526 of the family's 1533-position model. The record is from RNAcentral.
AUUGAACGCUGGCGGCAGGCCUAACACAUGCAAGUCGAACGAGUGGCGGACGGGUGAGUAAUGUCUGGGAAACUGCCCGAUGGAGGGGGAUAACUACUGGAAACGGUAGCUAAUACCGCAUACCAUCAGAUGUGCCCAGAUGGGAUUAGCUAGUUGUUGGGGUAACGGCUCACCAAGGCGACGAUCCCUAGCUGGUCUGAGAGGGUGACCAGCCACACUGGAACUGUGACACGGUCCAGACUCCUACGGGGGGCAGCAGUGGGGAAUAGUGCACAAUGGGCGCAAGCCUGAUGCAGACAUGCCGGGGGUAUGAAGAGGGCCUUGGGGUUGUAAAGUACUUUCAGCGGGGAGGCGUUACCCGCAGAAGAAGCACCGGCUAACUCCGUGCCAGCAGCCGCGGUAAUUC